This 608-nucleotide ribosomal RNA is filed under the name uncultured fungus. RNAcentral describes it as "eukaryotic LSU rRNA". The stretch from base 257 to 410 matches the Rfam family "5.8S ribosomal RNA". Lineage: Eukaryota; Fungi. The record is from RNAcentral.
UCCGUAGGUGAACCUGCGGAAGGAUCAUUACAAAGUACCCGGCCCCCUGGGCAACCACCGUAAGCAAUGGCCGAGCUGGCAUCCCUCCAGCCCACCCGCCCGCCGUUGUUCACGGUUUACCCAUGUGAAAUCCCCUUGUUGCUUCGGCAGCGCCUCCUCAUCUGCCGGAAGGGUCAGGCUGCCGGCAGCACCAUUGGAAACUCUUUCUUGAACUUGGUAUUUGAUACGUCUGAGAGCGCAGUCGAAUGACAUAUAAAACUUUCAACAACGGAUCUCUUGGUUCCCGCAUCGAUGAAGAACGCAGCGAAACGCGAUAGUUAAUGUGAAUUGCAGAAUUCAGUGAAUCAUCGAGUUUUUGAACGCACAUUGCGCCUUUUGGUAUUCCGAGAGGCACGUCUGUUUGAGCGUCAGCAGAACCCUUCCGGUCCCCGGUUCGCUGGGGGCACGGGCGUGCUGGUGUGGGGAUGCCGGCCGCCACACUCCGGUGUGGGACGUGCCCUCCCCCACUUAAACGUGGAGAAGCUAGCGGGCGGUGCCCCGGAUCGCGACGACUUGUAAAAGUUCUUACCGUCGGAAGGGGGCAUCCGGGGUCACCCCCGGCCCUCCCC